AACGAACGCUGGCGGCAUGCCUAACACAUGCAAGUCGAACGAUCCCUUCGGGGAUAGUGGCGCACGGGUGCGUAACGCGUGGGAACCUGCCCUUAGGUUCGGAAUAACUCAGAGAAAUUUGAGCUAAUACCGGAUAAUGUCUUCGGACCAAAGAUUUAUCGCCUUUGGAUGGGCCCGCGUUGGAUUAGCUAGUUGGUGGGGUAAAGGCCUACCAAGGCGACGAUCCAUAGCUGGUCUGAGAGGAUGAUCAGCCACACUGGGACUGAGACACGGCCCAGACUCCUACGGGAGGCAGCAGUGGGGAAUAUUGGUCAAUGGGCGAAAGCCUGAUCCAGCAAUGCCGCGUGAGUGAUGAAGGCCUUAGGGUUGUAAAGCUCUUUUACCCGGGAUGAUAAUGACAGUACCGGGAGAAUAAGCCCCGGCUAACUCCGUG
RNAcentral lists this ribosomal RNA (433 nucleotides) under uncultured bacterium. RNAcentral's name for it is "partial 16S ribosomal RNA". It matches the Rfam family "Bacterial small subunit ribosomal RNA", at positions 29 to 507 of the family's 1533-position model. The record is from RNAcentral.